RNAcentral lists this ribosomal RNA (759 nucleotides) under Neisseria cinerea. RNAcentral describes it as "bacterial SSU rRNA". It matches the Rfam family "Bacterial small subunit ribosomal RNA", at positions 28 to 776 of the family's 1533-position model. Lineage: Bacteria; Pseudomonadati; Pseudomonadota; Betaproteobacteria; Neisseriales; Neisseriaceae. The record is from RNAcentral.
AUUGAACGCUGGCGGCAUGCUUUACACAUGCAAGUCGGACGGCAGCACAGAGAAGCUUGCUUCUUGGGUGGCGAGUGGCGAACGGGUGAGUAACAUAUCGGAACGUACCGAGUAGUGGGGGAUAACUGAUCGAAAGAUCAGCUAAUACCGCAUACGUCUUGAGAGGGAAAGCAGGGGACCUUCGGGCCUUGCGCUAUUCGAGCGGCCGAUAUCUGAUUAGCUAGUUGGUGGGGUAAAGGCCUACCAAGGCGACGAUCAGUAGCGGGUCUGAGAGGAUGAUCCGCCACACUGGGACUGAGACACGGCCCAGACUCCUACGGGAGGCAGCAGUGGGGAAUUUUGGACAAUGGGCGCAAGCCUGAUCCAGCCAUGCCGCGUGUCUGAAGAAGGCCUUCGGGUUGUAAAGGACUUUUGUCAGGGAAGAAAAGGCUGUUGCUAAUAUCAGCGGCUGAUGACGGUACCUGAAGAAUAAGCACCGGCUAACUACGUGCCAGCAGCCGCGGUAAUACGUAGGGUGCGAGCGUUAAUCGGAAUUACUGGGCGUAAAGCGAGCGCAGACGGUUACUUAAGCAGGAUGUGAAAUCCCCGGGCUCAACCCGGGAACUGCGUUCUGAACUGGGUGACUAGAGUGUGUCAGAGGGAGGUAGAAUUCCACGUGUAGCAGUGAAAUGCGUAGAGAUGUGGAGGAAUACCGAUGGCGAAGGCAGCCUCCUGGGAUAACACUGACGUUCAUGCUCGAAAGCGUGGGUAGCAAACAGG